UACGUAGGCAGCAAGCGUUGUUCGGAGUUACUGGGCGUAAAGGGUGUGUAGGCGGUUGUUUAAGUUUGGUGUGAAAUCUCCCGGCUCAACCGGGAGGGUGCGCCGAAUACUGAAUGACUAGAGUGCGGGAGAGGAAAGUGGAAUUCCUGGUGUAGCGGUGAAAUGCGCAGAUAUCAGGAAGAACACCCGUGGCGAAGGCGGCUCUCUGGGACGGUACUGACGCUCAGGCGCGACAGCGUGGGGAUCAAACAGG
This 253-nucleotide ribosomal RNA is filed under the name uncultured bacterium. RNAcentral describes it as "partial 16S ribosomal RNA". It matches the Rfam family "Bacterial small subunit ribosomal RNA", at positions 524 to 776 of the family's 1533-position model. The record is from RNAcentral.